Molecule: non-coding RNA, 23 nt
Filed under: Arabidopsis thaliana (thale cress)
Lineage: Eukaryota; Viridiplantae; Streptophyta; Magnoliopsida; Brassicales; Brassicaceae
Source: RNAcentral
GGCAUAACACCUUAAACUCUCCU